UUUGUGGUUAAUGAUGAUGGAUUUUUUUCCCCGUCUUAUCGACCAUGGGGAUGCCUUUAUGACAUAAGCCAAUUUUGUCUGAAAUCACAGC
This is a small nucleolar RNA of Brienomyrus brachyistius, 91 nucleotides long. RefSeq annotates it as small nucleolar SNORD12/SNORD106. Lineage: Eukaryota; Metazoa; Chordata; Actinopteri; Osteoglossiformes; Mormyridae. The record is from RefSeq and is a predicted model, not a curated record. The transcript has a single exon.